RNAcentral lists this ribosomal RNA (250 nucleotides) under uncultured bacterium. Its description in RNAcentral is "partial 16S ribosomal RNA". It matches the Rfam family "Bacterial small subunit ribosomal RNA", at positions 524 to 773 of the family's 1533-position model. The record is from RNAcentral.
GACGAACCGUGCGAACGUUGUUCGGAAUCACUGGGCUUAAAGGGCGCGUAGGCGGGCGGCCGCGUCCGGGGUGAAAUCCCACGGCUCAACCGUGGAACGGCCUCGGAUACGGGCGGCCUCGAGGGGGGUAGGGGCAUCUGGAACUGUGAGUGGAGCGGUGAAAUGCGUUGAUAUUCACAGGAACUCCGGUGGCGAAGGCGAGGUGCUGGACCCCAUCUGACGCUGAGGCGCGAAAGCCAGGGGAGCGAAC